This 1347-nucleotide ribosomal RNA is filed under the name Chryseobacterium sp. CUVET1208. RNAcentral describes it as "bacterial SSU rRNA". It matches the Rfam family "Bacterial small subunit ribosomal RNA", at positions 56 to 1411 of the family's 1533-position model. Lineage: Bacteria; Pseudomonadati; Bacteroidota; Flavobacteriia; Flavobacteriales; Weeksellaceae. The record is from RNAcentral.
UGCAGCCGAGCGGUAGAGAUCUUUCGGGAUCUUGAGAGCGGCGUACGGGUGCGGAACACGUGUGCAACCUGCCUUUAUCAGGGGGAUAGCCUUUCGAAAGGAAGAUUAAUACCCCAUAAUAUUUAGAAUGGCAUCAUUUUAAAUUGAAAACUCCGGUGGAUAGAGAUGGGCACGCGCAAGAUUAGAUAGUUGGUGAGGUAACGGCUCACCAAGUCUGCGAUCUUUAGGGGGCCUGAGAGGGUGAUCCCCCACACUGGUACUGAGACACGGACCAGACUCCUACGGGAGGCAGCAGUGAGGAAUAUUGGACAAUGGGUGCGAGCCUGAUCCAGCCAUCCCGCGUGAAGGAUGACGGCCCUAUGGGUUGUAAACUUCUUUUGUAUAGGGAUAAACCUAGAUACGUGUAUCUAGCUGAAGGUACUAUACGAAUAAGCACCGGCUAACUCCGUGCCAGCAGCCGCGGUAAUACGGAGGGUGCAAGCGUUAUCCGGAUUUAUUGGGUUUAAAGGGUCCGUAGGCGGAUCUGUAAGUCAGUGGUGAAAUCUCACAGCUUAACUGUGAAACUGCCAUUGAUACUGCAGGUCUUGAGUGUUGUUGAAGUAGCUGGAAUAAGUAGUGUAGCGGUGAAAUGCAUAGAUAUUACUUAGAACACCAAUUGCGAAGGCAGGUUACUAAGCAACAACUGACGCUGAUGGACGAAAGCGUGGGGAGCGAACAGGAUUAGAUACCCUGGUAGUCCACGCCGUAAACGAUGCUAACUCGUUUUUGGAGCGCAAGCUUCAGAGACUAAGCGAAAGUGAUAAGUUAGCCACCUGGGGAGUACGAACGCAAGUUUGAAACUCAAAGGAAUUGACGGGGGCCCGCACAAGCGGUGGAUUAUGUGGUUUAAUUCGAUGAUACGCGAGGAACCUUACCAAGGCUUAAAUGGGGAAAUGACAGGCUUAGAAAUAGGCUUUUCUUCGGACAUUUUUCAAGGUGCUGCAUGGUUGUCGUCAGCUCGUGCCGUGAGGUGUUAGGUUAAGUCCUGCAACGAGCGCAACCCCUGUCACUAGUUGCCAUCAUUAAGUUGGGGACUCUAGUGAGACUGCCUACGCAAGUAGAGAGGAAGGUGGGGAUGACGUCAAAUCAUCACGGCCCUUACGCCUUGGGCCACACACGUAAUACAAUGGCCGGUACAGAGGGCAGCUACACAGCGAUGUGAUGCAAAUCUCGAAAGCCGGUCUCAGUUCGGAUUGGAGUCUGCAACUCGACUCUAUGAAGCUGGAAUCGCUAGUAAUCGCGCAUCAGCCAUGGCGCGGUGAAUACGUUCCCGGGCCUUGUACACACCGCCCGUCAAGCCAUGGAAGU